This 113-nucleotide ribosomal RNA is filed under the name Chitinophagales bacterium. Lineage: Bacteria; Pseudomonadati; Bacteroidota; Chitinophagia; Chitinophagales. The record is from RNAcentral.
CUAGGUGGCUAUAUUGUAGGGGUUCCACCUCUUCCCAUUCCGAACAGAGAAGUUAAGCCCUAUAAAGCUGAUGGUACUGCCGUAAAAGGUGGGAGAGUAAGUCGCCGCCAUUU